RNAcentral lists this ribosomal RNA (488 nucleotides) under uncultured bacterium. RNAcentral describes it as "partial 16S ribosomal RNA". It matches the Rfam family "Bacterial small subunit ribosomal RNA", at positions 28 to 507 of the family's 1533-position model. The record is from RNAcentral.
GACGAACGCUGGCGGCGUGCUUAACACAUGCAAGUCGAACGGAAAGGCCCUGCUUUUGUUGGGUGCUCGAUUGGCGAACGGGUGAGUAACACGUGAGUAACCUGCCCCUGACUUUGGGAUAACUUCAGGAAACUGGGGCUAAUACCGGAUAGGAGCUCCUGCUGCAUGGUGUGGGUUGGAAAGUUUCGGCGGUUGGGGAUGGACUCGCGGCUUAUCAGCUUGUUGGUGAGGUAGUGGCUUACCAAGGCUUUGACGGGUAGCCGGCCUGAGAGGGUGAUCGGCCGCACUGGAGCGUGGACAGCCUCCAUGCGACUGCGAGAGGGAGCAGAAGGGAACCGUAGGCAAUGGGGGAAAGCAUGACGGAGCGAGGCCACGUCAGAGACGGCAACGUCCGGAGCGGAAAGCCCGGUUACGGGUGGAGAACAGAUUUCGACUGAGACAUGCCCUUAUUGACGGUACCGGAUAAGGAAGCCCCGGCUAACUACGUG